Molecule: ribosomal RNA, 440 nt
Filed under: uncultured bacterium
Lineage: Bacteria
Description: partial 16S ribosomal RNA
Rfam family: Bacterial small subunit ribosomal RNA
Source: RNAcentral
CCUACGGGAGGCAGCAGUGGGGGAUAUUGCACAAUGGGGGGAACCCUGAUGCAGCGACGCCGCGUGGGUGAAGGAGCGUUUCGGCGCGUAAAGCCCUAUCGGCAGGGAAGAAGAUGACGGUACCUGACCAAGAAGCCCCGGCGAACUACGUGCCAGCAGCCCCGGCAAAACGCAGGGGGCAAGCGUUAUCCGGAUGUACUGGGUGUAAAGGGGGCGCAGACGGCAAUGCAAGCCAGGAGGGAAAGCCCGGGGCCCAACCCCGGGACUGCUCUUGAAACUGCAUGGCUGGAGUACAGGAGGGGCAGGCGGAAUGCGUGGUGUAGCGGUGAAAUGCGUAGAUAUUAGGAAGAACACCGAUGGCGAAGGCGGCCUGCUGGACUGUGACUGACGUUGAGGCCCGAAGGCGUGGGGAGCGAACAGGAUUAGAUACCCUGGUAGUC